GGUCGGAGUGAUCGGUCCGCCUCAUUCGGGGUGUGUACUUGUGUCGCCUCCAGCCAUCCUUGAGGAGAACUGUUCUGGCAUUGAGUUGUUGGGGCAGGGAACCUCAUCUUUUACUGUGAAAAAAUUAGAGUGUUUAAAGCAGGCUUACGCCGUUGAAUACAUUAGCAUGGAAUAAUAAGAUAGGACUUUGGUGGUCUAUUUUGUUGGUUUGCACACCAAGGUA
Molecule: ribosomal RNA, 223 nt
Filed under: uncultured fungus
Lineage: Eukaryota; Fungi
Description: partial small subunit ribosomal RNA
Rfam family: Eukaryotic small subunit ribosomal RNA (bases 96-223)
Source: RNAcentral